GACGAACGCUGGCGGCGUGCCUAAUACAUGCAAGUAGAACGCUGAAGAGAGGAGCUUGCUCUUCUUGGAUGAGUUGCGAACGGGUGAGUAACGCGUAGGUAACCUGCCUUGUAGCGGGGGAUAACUAUUGGAAACGAUAGCUAAUACCGCAUAACAAUGGAUGACACAUGUCAUUUAUUUGAAAGGGGCAAUUGCUCCACUACAAGAUGGACCUGCGUUGUAUUAGCUAGUAGGUGAGGUAAUGGCUCACCUAGGCGACGAUACAUAGCCGACCUGAGAGGGGGAUCGGUCACCCCGCGCCUGAGACACGGCCCAGACUCCUCCGGGAGGCAGCAGUAGGGAAUCUUCGGCCAUGGGGGCCACCCUGACCGAGCCACGCCGCGUGAGUGAAGAAGGUUUUCGGCUCGUAAAGCUCUGUUGUAAGUCAAGAACGGGUGUGAGAGUGGAAAGUUCACACUGUGACGGUAGCUUAACAGAAAGGGCCGGCUAACUACGUG
Molecule: ribosomal RNA, 497 nt
Filed under: uncultured bacterium
Lineage: Bacteria
Description: partial 16S ribosomal RNA
Rfam family: Bacterial small subunit ribosomal RNA
Source: RNAcentral